UUGACGGACCCGCACAAGCAGCGGAGCGUGUGGUUUAAUUCGAGGCUACACGAAGAACCUUACCAGGGUUUGACAUGCAAGUGGUAGGAAUCCGAAAGGUGACCGACCCUUCGGGGAGCUUGUACAGGUGCUGCAUGGCUGUCGUCAGCUCGUGUCGUGAGAUGUUCGGUUAAGUCCGCUAACGAGCGCAACCCUCGCUGUGUGUUACAAGUGUCACACGGAACUGCCGGUCAUAAACCGGAGGAAGGUGGGGAUGACGUCAAGUCCUCAUGGCCCUUAUAGGUGGGGCUACACACGUCAUACAAUGGCCGGUACAGAGGGUAGCCAACCCGCGAGGGGGAGCCAAUCCCACAAAGCCGGUCGUAGUCCGGAUCGCAGUCUGCAACUCGACUGCGUGAAGUCGGAAUCGCUAGUAAUCGCGGAUCAGCAUGUCGCGGUGAAUACGUUCCCGGGUCUU
RNAcentral lists this ribosomal RNA (457 nucleotides) under uncultured bacterium. RNAcentral's name for it is "bacterial SSU rRNA". It matches the Rfam family "Bacterial small subunit ribosomal RNA", at positions 917 to 1381 of the family's 1533-position model. The record is from RNAcentral.